This 447-nucleotide ribosomal RNA is filed under the name uncultured bacterium. Its description in RNAcentral is "bacterial SSU rRNA". It matches the Rfam family "Bacterial small subunit ribosomal RNA", at positions 355 to 825 of the family's 1533-position model. The record is from RNAcentral.
UCGGGAAUUUUGGGCAAUGGGGGAAACCCUGACCCAGCAACGCCGCGUGAAGGAUGAAGUAUUUCGGUAUGUAAACUUCGAAAGAAUAGGAAGAAUAAAUGACGGUACUAUUUAUAAGGUCCGGCUAACUACGUGCCAGCAGCCGCGGUAAUACGUAGGUGGCAAGCGUUGUCCGGAUUUAUUGGGUUUAAAGGGUGCGUAGGUGGCCCUGUAAGUCAGUGGUGAAAUAUCUCAGCUUAACUGAGAGGGUGCCAUUGAUACUGCAGGGCUUGAGUACAGAUGAGGUAGGCGGAAUUGACGGUGUAGCGGUGAAAUGCAUAGAUAUCGUCAAGAACACCGAUAGCGAAGGCAGCUUACCAAGCUGUAACUGACACUGAGGCACGAAAGUGUGGGGAUCAAACAGGAUUAGAUACCCACGUAGUCCCUGAGCGGGCUGGCAAGGCGCAU